CAACUACUCCCUCUGUCCCAAAUUUCUUGUCUUAGAUUUGUCUAGAUACGGAUGUAUGAUACAUCCUUAUCUAGACAAAUCUAAGACAAGAAUUUUGGGACGGAGGGAGUACUUU
Triticum aestivum (bread wheat) is the source of this 115-nucleotide non-coding RNA. The record is from Rfam. Lineage: Eukaryota; Viridiplantae; Streptophyta; Magnoliopsida; Poales; Poaceae.